UCAGAAGUGCGAAUGCUGACAUGAGUAACGUUAAUGCGGGUGAAAAACCCGCACGCCGAAAACCCAAGGUUUCCUGCUCAACGUUAAUCGGAGCAGGGUGAGCCGGUUCCUAAGACGAGACCGAAAGGUGUAGCCGAUGGAAAACAGGUCAACAUUCCUGUGCCCGGUGUGACUGCGAUGGGGUGACGGAGAAGGCUAGUUCAGCAGGGGUUGGUUCCCUGUUUAAGCAUGUAGGAGGAUCUACCAGGAAAAUCC
RNAcentral lists this ribosomal RNA (255 nucleotides) under Heterosigma akashiwo. RNAcentral describes it as "partial Bacterial large subunit ribosomal RNA". It matches the Rfam family "Bacterial large subunit ribosomal RNA", at positions 1282 to 1543 of the family's 2925-position model. Lineage: Eukaryota; Raphidophyceae; Chattonellales; Chattonellaceae. The record is from RNAcentral.